This 72-nucleotide transfer RNA is filed under the name Danionella translucida. It matches the Rfam family "tRNA". From Rfam's summary of the family: Transfer RNA (tRNA) molecules are approximately 80 nucleotides in length. Their secondary structure includes four short double-helical elements and three loops (D, anti-codon, and T loops). Further hydrogen bonds mediate the characteristic L-shaped molecular structure. tRNAs have two regions of fundamental functional importance: the anti-codon, which is responsible for specific mRNA codon recognition, and the 3' end, to which the tRNAs corresponding amino acid is attached (by aminoacyl-tRNA synthetases). tRNAs cope with the degeneracy of the genetic code in two manners: having more than one tRNA (with a specific anti-codon) for a particular amino acid; and 'wobble' base-pairing, i.e. permitting non-standard base-pairing at the 3rd anti-codon position. RNAcentral also lists the same sequence under 1 other name. The record is from Rfam by way of RNAcentral. Lineage: Eukaryota; Metazoa; Chordata; Actinopteri; Cypriniformes; Danionidae.
UCCCUGAUGGUCUAGUGGUUAGGAUUCUGCACUUUCACUGCCGUGGCCUGGGUUCGAUUCUCGGUCAGGGUA